CCAGACUCCUACGGGAGGCAGCAGUGGGGGAUAUUGCACAAUGGGGGGAACCCUGAUGCAGCGACGCCGCGUGGGUGAAGAAGUAUUUCGGUAUGUAAAGCCCUGUCAGCAGGGAAGAAAAUGACGGUACCUGAAGAAGAAGCCCCGGCUAACUACGUGCCAGCAGCCGCGGUAAUACGUAGGGGGCAAGCGUUAUCCGGAUUUACUGGGUGUAAAGGGGGCGCAGACGGCGAUGCAAGCCAGGAGUGAAAGCCCGGGGCCCAACCCCGGGACUGCUCUUGGAACUGCGUGGCUGGAGUGCAGGAGGGGCAGGCGGAAUUCCUGGUGUAGCGGUGAAAUGCGUAGAUAUCAGGAGGAACACCGGUGGCGAAGGCGGCCUGCUGGACCGUGACUGACGUUGAGGCUCGAGAGCGUGGGGAGCAAACAGGAUUAGAUACCCUUGUAU
This 445-nucleotide ribosomal RNA is filed under the name uncultured bacterium. RNAcentral describes it as "bacterial SSU rRNA". It matches the Rfam family "Bacterial small subunit ribosomal RNA", at positions 331 to 793 of the family's 1533-position model. The record is from RNAcentral.